This is a non-coding RNA of Triticum aestivum (bread wheat), 115 nucleotides long. Lineage: Eukaryota; Viridiplantae; Streptophyta; Magnoliopsida; Poales; Poaceae. The record is from Rfam.
GUCUUACUCCCUCCGUUCCAAAUUAUUCGUCGCGAAAAUAGAUGUAUUUAAAACUAAAAUACAUCUAGAUACAUCCAUACCUACGACAAGUAAUUCGGAACGGAGGGAGUACAUU